UCUAAGAUCGAAUCGGUCACGAAAGUGAUUGACUUUUAAUCUGUGUACAGCUCCAUAAAAGAUUUACAACCGUCGCUGGUUGUGUUAUUUAUAAGGAUAACAUAACCAAAUGUAGUGAUAAUACUUGAGAAAUUAAUGAUAAAGCUUUAAGGAAUUAGCUUUAUCUAUCCGGGGCAACUCGGAUGUUAACCAAUGGUCAAUUAGGCGGAUUUAUUCUUUAUCAGUUAGAAAACUGUUUCAACAACAGUUUUGACAGUAACAAAUUCGGAGAAUUAGUGUUCGAUUCCGGAGAAGGAGCCUGAGAAAUAGCUACUAGUACUAAGGUAUGCAGCAGGCGCGAAACUUACCCAAUAUGAAUACCCACGUGAGGUAGUGAAAAGAAAUAAGCAUCUUUCUUUUAAUAAGAAAGAGUACUGAUUUUUAUCGGUUUACAAUGGUAACGCUUUAGAAUAUCGUUAGAGUAACAAUUGGAGGGAAAGUCAGGUGCCAGCAGCCGCGGUAAUACCUGCUCCAAUAGUGUAUGAUAACAUUGCUGCAGUUAAAACGUUCGUAAUCGCCAUAAGAGUAUAUAAAUUGAAGUCGAUUGCAUCUAAUCCUCUCAAUGCUGUUAUUCUAAUAACUCAUUGUAAGGUCGAAUUUUCGGGGUUCUUUUGAAUUUAUUAGAUCUUUCAUAGCAAUCCUUAGUUUCUUUUUUUAACUUAGGUUUUAAAAAGAGCUAUAGUGACUUGUGAUUUCGACUUAUAUGCUCGUUUUUAACCUGUGAACAAAUUAGGGCGAUUAAAGGAAGAUUAGUGGUGGUAUAUUCCUCACGGAAUUACUAUUUGUGAUGUAAAAUAUUUUAGCACAGAACCAUUUAUUCCAGUUGUAUUUACAGCUGGUUUAGACAAUAGAACCAGGAACAGGUUUUUGGUAUUUAUUGAUGAGGGGUGAAAUCCGUAUAGUCUAUAAGGACCCACGGAGGCGAAAGCGAAAAGCUAGUACUGGUUCAUUGACGAGGAACAAAAGCCAGGGGAGCAAAGAUGAUUAGAUACCGUCGUAGUCCUGGCCGUAAACUAUACAAAUUAGAGAUUGUAUGAAGUCAUAUAAAAGAUUUUUACAGGAUCCCCCGAGAAAUCCUAAAUUUUUGUGUUCUUGGGGGAGUAUAUUCGCAAGAACGAAACUUAAAGGAAUUGACGGAAAUUCACCACCAGGAGUGGAUUCUGCGGCUUAAUUCGACUCAACGCGUGGAAACUUACCAGGACCAGACUAUGGAAAGAUUGACAAGCUAAUGACUUUUCUUGAUUCGUAAAAUAGUGGUGCAUGGUCGUUCUCAGUUCGUGGAUUGGUCUGUCUACUUAAUUGUGAUAACGAGCGAGACCUCCGUUAUUAAUUAGCAACUCCGUUGUUUCUAUUGCUGAAACCGGUAUUUGAGUUUUUUACUCAUCUUCUUAAUAAGACUUUAUUCGAUUAAAUAAAACAGAGUAAGGAAGUUGGAGGCCAUAACAGAUCUGUUAUGCCCUUAUAUAUCCUGGGCGGCACGCGUAAUACAAUGUUUUUGCCAUCAAGUAUGGCAUUUUUUGCCGAACCAAAUUUGUUAAGAUAAGGAAAGCUCCGGCAAUC
Molecule: ribosomal RNA, 1599 nt
Filed under: Monopylocystis minor
Lineage: Eukaryota; Heterolobosea; Eutetramitea; Lyromonadida; Psalteriomonadidae
Description: SSU rRNA
Rfam family: Eukaryotic small subunit ribosomal RNA
Source: RNAcentral